Molecule: long non-coding RNA, 266 nt
Filed under: Sorghum bicolor (sorghum)
Lineage: Eukaryota; Viridiplantae; Streptophyta; Magnoliopsida; Poales; Poaceae
Description: long non-coding RNA (SBIC_LNC002163)
Source: RNAcentral
AGGCGAGGAGAGGAGGAGGCCGGAGCCAAAGAUGAGUGCUGUCGUGGACAAGUAGCAUUUGAGAGAGAAAAAAGUAAUUACAACAUUUUUAAUUGGAGAGAGUAUACUAUACAACACCCAUUGUUCAAAUUUGCAAUUAAUUAAUUAUAUAUAGCAAAUAAUUACAAAACUAGACAAAAAAAAUUAAUAUUGAACAACAUGUAGUAUGUGUAGAGAUAAAAAAGUUUGGAGCAAAUGAAAGAAAAAAUAAAUAAAUUUAAUUGGAG